Synchiropus splendidus (mandarinfish) is the source of this 3385-nucleotide long non-coding RNA. RefSeq lists it as uncharacterized. The record is from RefSeq and is a predicted model, not a curated record. The transcript has 8 exons. Lineage: Eukaryota; Metazoa; Chordata; Actinopteri; Syngnathiformes; Callionymidae.
AAACUGCUGCGACACCUGUUUGUCCCGACUGAUUUUUGGGAGCCAUCUUUGCUUCCUGCCUCUAUUUUGACUGACUUCUAGUUUGCUUUCUUCAUGUGUCUCACCUGACUGCAGGAUCCCUGGAAGCUGAGCUAAGGACUUUGGUCAAGCUUUUCUGGUUGGGUUUGUAGCUGCUGUGACAAAGUUGGUUCAUGUUCCUCAAAGUUUCCUGCUGAAAUGUCUCUUAAACUGCACUUGACUGACUGACUGACUGAAAUGACUCAUCAUAACCUCCGUUGACUCGCAACACUCGAACGUCAAACCGUUACCUACACAAGCGAAAUAUCAAAUGAAGCUUCAUUUGUUGUUAGUCAUGUGAUUUCUUCCGCUUCGACUCGUGCUGUGAAACCGUGCUGCGUUUGGGUGUCACUGGUGUUGAUUCUUCUUCAUCCUGUUUGUGUAUCUGCUGGAAGAUGUUGGCUAGUCUCACUCUACUCCACAGCUGCCAGUCUGCUUCCUGAGAGACCAACUGGACCAACUCUCCCCUGCCUCUGGACCACCAGGCUCUGGCGGUCACGCCAGACAGCUCACCUCACGCUGGGUUUAUCUCUAGAAUUCCUCACUGAGUCUUCCUGUGAAGCUAAUCUGCGCUGCUCUCUAGAUCCUUCAGUAAAACCUCCUGCAUCCACUGAAGGUUCUUCUCUCCAACAUCCCAGGAAUCAAUGCUCCAAUUGUUCUCCUCAGUGACUCCAACACAGCUGCACCGAUGAAGUGAAGGUCAUCCUCCACAGCUCUCAUCUGAGAUCUGGUCCAUCUGUUGCUCCAGCUGCAAGGUCAAAGUUCAGCUGACCAAACUGCUGAUGCUGGUGAGCUUCCUAGACAUCUUCUGUACCAUCUUCAGUCACCUGAGCCAGAACUGAGUGCAUUGAGUGCUUGAACUCAUUACUGCAGACGACCAUGGACUUGAUGGGCUGACUCGCCACCAGACUGGAACUAAAGUGGACUUCAGGAGUUCUUGAACGUUGUGGGUCAGACAUUCAUGAGUGUGGAGCGCCACCUACUGCACACUAGUGAGACCAAGGUGGAGUCAGUUGGAAAAGAAGGCCUCGUCCCAUCAAGCUCCACCAGCUCUCUGACCUUCUCCCACAGUAAAUGACCCUGGUCUACAGCCAGUCGUAGAGGUUCCAGUGCCCUCAACACCACCCAGGCCGUCACUACUGAAUGUGGAGGGCAACAAUGUGGUGACCUGCAUCAUGGAGUCUUCAGGAAAUGCUGUUCAUUUCCACUCUGAUUUGACCUUCUGUUUAUUUCCAGGACAAACAUGUCCUUCUCAUCAGCUUGGACUCGGAGGAGGCCAAAUUUAACUCUGACUCUCUUUCAGGAGGAGAUCUGCUGUGUGGUCAGGUUUGACUUCAAAAAGUCCCGGGUUUUAGGAGGCUGAUUUCCUCCACCAAGAACUGAAGUAGACUGAAGCUGCCGUUGUGGUUUUUCUGUCAUUGAAUCUCCUCUGUGGUGAAAGUCUUGUCUUCUCUGCUCCCUUUUGUGUCCUGCCCCAGUAGACUAAGAAUUUCCAAAAACUGAAGAGGAACAUGUGGAUCCAAAUGGAGUCCUGUCAGCUUCAGCAGCUUCUGUUUGAAUAAAGGACUUUGAUUCUGAGGUGCACAGGUCUGUUACUGUGGUGAAAUGUCUUGUGUUUUUACCUCCAACCACCCAGUGCUGGAGUAUACAUCCUCGCUGCAGUUGCUCCAGUACUGAUGUGUUUCACACCUGGUCCUACAGUGUAUCUACUGUGAUCUAUCCAACCUGGAUAGAUCACAGUAGAUACCAGAUCAUCCUAUAGAUGUUCUGCACAUGAUUUACAUGGUGUGUUUAUCCACAGCAAUGUCUUGUUCAAGUGAAUAAAACAGGGGGCCGAGUCGGCAUUUAAAACCAGCCAUUUAAAGAACAUUUCUUUUUUGUUUGAACCUUGGUCCGGUUGCCAUCUUCAAACCUUCUGCUGCGCGAUGACCCAGGUCACUGAGCUCUUCCAAACAUUACCUGUGUUCCACUUUGUCUCUUCUAUAUCCAGUGAUUUAUUCCUGUGUAUCACUGAUAUACAAAGGUUUGGGCCCCAGAGACUGAGCCUUGUUGAACUCCACUCUCACGGUUCUAGUGCUGCUCCAUCUGCUUCUAAGGAUGUCUGAAUACAGUUGUAGUUCUGCUCUGUUCCUCUCGAGCCACUGCAUUCAACAUAUUACUCAUCACUCCAUUGUAUUUUUUUUAAAUGGUGCUUUUCCUCUGUCAUUUGAAUAUCAGUCUCUCACACCUCCACAUCAUCAAACAUCGUGGUCCUUGAGACUCUAACCAUCACCACAGCAAAUGAGAGCUGAGGUGAGACCAGAGGGUGUCUCUCACUUCAGCUCUGUCCUCAUCCAUGUUCUUCACUACCCUCACAUACUCCUCACUUCCUCCAACAGUAACUUCCUCUCUGACUGCUGACAUAGACUUUCUGGACAAUGACAACUGCUGCAGCUCUCUGACCUCCAUCCUGUCUUCAACAAUUUGAAACAGUAAACUGUUUUUCUUCGUCAGACAUGAACACUUUUGCAUCGACUGACGAUUCCUCUCCUCACACCUCCAUCUGUAACCACUGUGGUCCAUCACUCUCCUUCCAGACUUUAUUCCUAGUCGUAGCAAACAAGCUGAGCGCUGGUCUCGUCACCUCUGUCAUCAAACAUGUUCUGAACUACCCUCACAUCCUCAAACUGCAGUACACUUCCACUGGAUGUCCUCAAAGCAAAUGUACGUUCUGUCAAUAUGCUGGUAGCCUGUUGACAUAGCCACGCAAUGUCAUCCUGUUUGUAUUCUGUGAUAUGUAUUUAUUUUACCUCUCAUUGAAUAGUGCUGCUCUAGUUUCCCAGCCUGAAAUCAAUAGUCAGUCUUUCAGGAGAACUCAACUGCCUGUCUACUGCAUCAUGGUGGUUGAAUUGUAUUCACUAGUCAUUCUGUCUCAUCCCUGCACCUCACCUCUGCCCUCACGUGUUUCACCAUACUUCCUCUCUCACUGUGCCAUGGACUUUGUACAACUUCUGCAGCCCUUCUUUUCUCUGUCCUCAUGUCUGGUCUCCUGUUUGAACUCAUCAGUCCAUAUCUUUUUACUGUGGUUUGUCAGUGAGUAGUUUAACAUUAGUUUAGAGCAGCUUCCUGGUCUCUCCCAUUUGUUGUCCGAUAUCGGCUGAGCUGCUUUGUCAUGUCUCUCUCAAACACAUUGUUCAUCUGCUGCUCAUUCUCCAGCAACAUGUUUGGAGAAAGUUGUCUUCCACAGGUUUCUCCCCUCUAAUGCUCAAACUGUACUUUGUUUCGUGAAAGAGUAAAAUUAAAAAUUCUAGAUUUGAGUCAUGGCUGGUCAUUUUGGCGUGAUUGGGUA